UUUGUAAGCCUUAUUUCGAUGUCAAAAUAUGUUAUCUAAUAAUAUUUUAUUCGAUAUAAUAAUCUUUUACUAUAAUUGAAAGCUAGAAGUAUGAUUAACUGUUUAAAAUAUAAUAACAUAUUGUAUCUUUAAGUCAUUUUAAAAGAAUAAAAUAAAUUGUGGAUAGUAAAUGCUAAGCAGCAACUAUUCCAAAAAUACAUGCUGAUAGAAAAGACGCAUUCAUCAUACUUAAGGGUUUAACCACAGCGCUCAGAGGUUUCGAAUAAAACGCAGGACUUUGCGUGUAGAAUCUAUUGGUGUAAUAAAUGAUAGGGGAGGAGGACAAAGUGGAGGGAGA
RNAcentral lists this long non-coding RNA (337 nucleotides) under Ananas comosus (pineapple). Its description in RNAcentral is "long non-coding RNA (ACOM_LNC027378)". The record is from RNAcentral. Lineage: Eukaryota; Viridiplantae; Streptophyta; Magnoliopsida; Poales; Bromeliaceae.